RNAcentral lists this ribosomal RNA (484 nucleotides) under uncultured bacterium. RNAcentral's name for it is "partial 16S ribosomal RNA". It matches the Rfam family "Bacterial small subunit ribosomal RNA", at positions 30 to 507 of the family's 1533-position model. The record is from RNAcentral.
AUUGAACGCUGGCGGCAGGCCUAACACAUGCAAGUCGAGCGGACGAAGGGAGCUUGCUCCUGGAUUCAGCGGCGGACGGGUGAGUAAUGCCUAGGAAUCUGCCUGGUAGUGGGGGAUAACGUCCGGAAACGGGCGCUAAUACCGCAUACGUCCUGAGGGAGAAAGUGGGGGAUCUUCGGACCUCACGCUAUCAGAUGAGCCUAGGUCGGAUUAGCUAGUUGGUGGGGUAAAGGCCUACCAAGGCGACGAUCCGUAACUGGUCUGAGAGGAUGAUCAGUCACAGUGGGAGUGAGACACGGUCCAGACUCCUACGGGAGGCAGCAGUGGGGAAUAUUGGACGAUGGGCGGAAGCCUGAUCCAGCCAUGCCGCGUGUGUGCAGAAGGUCUUCGGAUUGUAAAGCACUUUAAGUUGGGAGGAAGGGCAGUAAGUUAAUACCUUGCUGUUUUGACGUUACCAACAGAAUAAGCACCGGCUAACUUCGUG